Passer montanus (Eurasian tree sparrow) is the source of this 2480-nucleotide long non-coding RNA. RefSeq lists it as uncharacterized. NCBI's taxonomy places the organism in Eukaryota, Metazoa, Chordata, Aves, Passeriformes, Passeridae. The record is from RefSeq and is a predicted model, not a curated record. The transcript is spliced from 2 exons.
CGAGCUCGUCUUCCCCGGCGGCGGCUGCAGUCCCUCCGGCUGCUGGCGGCUCGCUCCUGCGCUGCACUAGGGCUGCCACAGCGGGAAAGGGCGGAGGCGCUGCCAAAGUGCCCGGGACGGAGCUAACUCAGUUAGGUACAACGAGUAUUUUCAUGGAAUAAUUGGAGUAGCUAUGCAGGUGCGUCCUGGUCGCAGGUUGUGUUGAGUUCCAGCAAGCAGCCAAGGGCGUGAUGGAGCAAGUGAGAAAUACUCAGCUUGAUUCAGAGAGUAGUGAGUUAAUAGGUACAUCAAAGAAUCAGUGUUUAUUUUGUCUUCAAGUAAUUAGUAUCCCACCAUUUCUGGAAGCAGGAUCAUAACCUUUUUUUUCUCUCUCCCUCUUUAGAGAAGAAUAAGCAAAAACAUGCUUCUUGGGGUUUGACACUUCUGUUCUUCUGCAAUAACUGAUUCUGCUGUACUAACAUUAACCUGUUUGGUUAAAAAAAUACCUUUUUUUAAUAAGGAUUUUUUUAAAAAACACAAAACAGCUUUGAAGACUAUUGGGAACAUUCAGCACAACUGCUGAAUCAGGCUGCCUGUUCCCAAUCAAGCAGUGUUCUGCAAAUGCAAGAGUACAAGCGUCUCCUGAUUCAGAAAUCACUAAAGAAAAGAAUGAAUUUUGUCAGGAGUCAAAAGAUUCUGAGUUCCGCUCUCAUAGCCAUUGACUGUUGUUUGACUUCAAAGGCUUCUGCACUGACCUAAACCUCAAGCUUCUACCUAGAAGGAGGUCAAGUGUAAGUGUAUUACAAAGAGCUUGCAGCACAUCCUGUAGUGUAAGCAGGAGCCUGUAGAAUUCUUUAAUGGUUUGCUGGAAUGUGCUCAUCCCAGCCUUACUGAGGCAGUGUUUGUUUCCAUAGUAGUCAUUUAAAAAUGGCACAUUUUUUUUUAUUUGGAUUCUCAGUGGGUAGUCUCCUAAAAUUCGUAUCAACUCAGAGUUUUAGUGUUUCUUCUUCAGCAAAGUAUUGCCUGGUGCCACCUACAUAAUAUGGUGCUAUGCUAGUUUAAUCAGCCUAAUGAGGAUCAUGCAAUCAUAAGGGUAAUUGCCAGUGAUUCAGGUUCUCUACAGUGGCUCUAAUGAGUCCCAUCAGAUGAGGAUGUUUGUAAAAUUUCAUCAAUCUCAACAGAACGCAGACUGCUCCAAUAAGUAAAAGUCUCCCACUUUGUAAAAUUAUGCCCCCUCCUAUGAUGCAAAAAUGAGAGCAUAUGUUUCUAUAGCCCUACACAGCCUGACUUCUCAAAGUAGAAGCACCUCCAGAUGUGUAGGGACAUGGCCAUAUCAGGACCUGCUAACUGUCACUGCUCUGUGUAGACCAGGAAGAGGACUGAAGAAAAGAAACAAGACUAUCAGCAAUAUGAAUAGAAAAGAGAAUUUAUUAAAGGAGGCAGUUAAAGAUAGCAUAAUUGUCUACAAUUGCAUAUUGUACAAUUAGAUAGAUGCCAAGAUCUCACUGUUAAAACCUCAGAGUUUUGAGGAUUUCUGUGUUUUGGUUUGGUUUUUUUUUCUUUCCUCCCACUGAAUGACAGAAUGGUUGAGGUUGGAAGGGACUGGUCCAAGCCCCCUGCUACAACAGACUCACAGCUCAUUGCCCAACACUAUGUUCAGAUGACUUUUGAAUACCUACCAAGGAUUUUCUUGGUGUCUGUUGUCAUUCUUGCUUCCUUUUUCCCUAGACCAUUUUUCCUUCUCUUAAUUCUCACCCAGACAUAUAAUCUAGAUUUUCCAGUUGUCUUGGGAGACACAGUAGCAGUCCUGCUGUGGCUGGGAAAGCUUCCAAGGCCAAAUGUAGAAUUAGCUUUCUAAACAGACACAUCUUGUAACCCCCACAGCUCCCAUGAGACUUAAGUGACAGGUUAUCCUUUGAUAUGGAUUAGGUACUUUAGAGAGACAUGAACACAGACAGUUCCUUACCAAGAGCUUCAUGAUACUGUUACCUAGUUGAAGGUAUUCAGCAGUUCCCUGACAGAAAAGCUUUCUGACUGCUAAAAUAUGGGAGUUCAGGUGUCUCCUGCAGAGAGCAUAGGCUGAGUGACAUGGUAUAAUAGGAAAAGGAGCUUUACCGAUAGCAGUCUUUUCUCUUUUUUCCAAGAAAGCACAAAAACUGUUGCUAGGUUUACAACAAGCCACACCAAAUUAGCAAUAAGUAAAUACAUGUGAUUUCCACAUAAGCACAGAAAUCUGGAUAUGUCCCUGCUGUCCUCUUAGUCGUUAGGAGAAAAACACUUUCAAAAUUUAAUUACAGUGUUCUAAGUUUUUAAAACUGGUAUUAAUACAGUCUUUUAAAAUUAACUUUCAUCUUAAUAACAAAGGAAAAAAUACCUUUGAUUAAAAUUACUGGUUUAGGCAUUCCUGAAUUUUUUAUUACUUUCAGCAGCCUUUUUGUAUGAGCAACUGAACAGUAAAUUACUUUACAACCUAAGUAAUAAAAUAUGGUCUCUGUAUUGCA